Molecule: ribosomal RNA, 433 nt
Filed under: uncultured bacterium
Lineage: Bacteria
Description: partial 16S ribosomal RNA
Rfam family: Bacterial small subunit ribosomal RNA
Source: RNAcentral
AACGAACGCUGGCGGCAUGCCUAACACAUGCAAGUCGAACGAGACCUUCGGGUUUAGUGGCGCACGGGUGCGUAACGCGGGGGAACCUGCCCUUAGGUUCGGAAUAACUCCCCGAAUGGGGUGCUAAUACCGGCUAAUGUCCUCGAACCAAAGAUUUAUCGCCUUUGGAUGGGCCUUCGUUGGAUUAGCUAGUUGGGAGGGUAAAAGCCUACCAAGGCGACGAUCCAUAACUGGUAUGAGAGGAUGAUCAGCCACACUGGGACUGAGACACGGCCCAGACUCCUACGGGAGGCAGCAGUGGGGAAUAUUGGACAAUGGGCUAAAGCCUGAUCCAGCAAUGCCGCGUGAGUGAUGAAGGCCUUAGGGUUGUAAAGCACUUUUACCCGGGAUGAUAAUGACGGUACCGGGAGAAUAAGCUCCGGCUAACUCCGUG